RNAcentral lists this ribosomal RNA (1430 nucleotides) under Colostethus ruthveni. RNAcentral's name for it is "partial 16S ribosomal RNA". It matches the Rfam family "Bacterial large subunit ribosomal RNA", at positions 395 to 2597 of the family's 2925-position model. The record is from RNAcentral. Lineage: Eukaryota; Metazoa; Chordata; Amphibia; Anura; Dendrobatidae.
CUCAACACCUAACCCAAUUUUCCCGCAUGAACAACUCUUGUUCUUUCCCACUAAUCAAAACAUUUAUUUUGUUAAGUAAAGGCGAUCGAAAAACUUUUUGGAGUGAUAGACACAGUACCGUAAGGGAAAAGUGAAAUAAAAGUGAAAUAAUUCUUAAGCACAUAAAAGUAGAGCUUAAUCCUCGUACCUUUUGCAUCAUGGUUUAACUAGUCUAAUCAAGCAUAACGAACUUUCAGUUUGAACCCCCGAACCCAGGCGAGCUACUUUAGGGCAGCUUUUUGAGCCUACCCGUCUCUGUUGCAAAAGAGUGGGGAGACCCUAAAGUAGAGGUGACAGACCUAACGAGCCUGGCGAUAGCUGGUUGUCUUAGAAAAGGAUUUUAGUCCUGCUUAAAGAUUUAUGAUCUCAUAAAAUUCUCUUUAAAGUUAUUCAAAUAAGGUACAGCCUAUUUGAAAAUGGAUACAACCUUAACUACUGGGUUACCCCCCCCCCCCCCCCCGUGACAAAGUAGGCCUAAAAGCAGCCAUCUUUAACAAAAGCGUCAAAGCUUACUCACAGGUAAUUCUUUAAUCCCCACAUUUUUCUCCACCCCUUACCCCCCCCCCGAUAAGACAACUCUAUAUUUUUAUAGAAAAUUUUAUGUUAAAACUAGUAAUAAGAAGCAGACCCUUCUCUCUACACGCGAGUUUAGACCGACCUGGACACACCAUCGUUAAUUAACGUUUUUAAUAAAAAAAUAGGAACCAAACAAGAAAAUUCUAUUAUAACUAACGUUUACCUGACACUUAGAGCGUUUCGAGAAAGAUUAAAAGAAAAAGAAGGAACUCGGCAAACAUUAGUCUCGCCUGUUUACCAAAAACAUCGCCUCUUGACCUAUAAUAAGAGGUCCCGCCUGCCCAGUGACACUGUUUAACGGCCGCGGUAUCCUAACCGUGCGAAGGUAGCGUAAUCACUUGUUCUUUAAUUGAGGACUAGUAUGAAUGGCUUCACGAGGACUAUACUGUCUCCUUUUUCUAAUCAAUGAAACUGAUCUCCCCGUGAAGAAGCGGGGAUGAAAUUAUAAGACGAGAAGACCCUAUGGAGCUUUAAACUCUCGAAAUAUUUGCUUACCCCUUGUUUAUUUCUGAAACCUAAAUUUAACCAAGCAUUUUAUCUUCAAGUUUUAGGUUGGGGUGACCACGGAGUAAAAAUUAACCUCCGCGAUGUAAGAAAUUUCCCAUCUUAGCAGCAAGCUACAACUUUAUGCACCAACAUAUUGACUCCCAUUGACCCAAUAGUUUGAUCAACGAACCAAGUUACCCUAGGGAUAACAGCGCAAUCUACUUCAAGAGCCCAUAUCGACAAGUAGGUUUACGACCUCGAUGUUGGAUCAGGGUAUCCUGGUGGUGCAGCCGCUACUAACGGUUCGUUUGUUCAACGAUUAAAACCCU